AUAUAAUAUUGUUAGGUGAGGCUCCUAUAAAGAAAUAUGCUGCUGCCCAGAAAAAUCUAGAGAUUCCAAUGGGUUAACAAGAAUCAUCGUAAAGGUGAUUUUUAAUGUAGCUGACUGAAAAAGUCUACGCUUUAUAGUGCUAAAGCUCUACGAUUAUUUAAA
Molecule: regulatory RNA element, 162 nt
Organism: Clostridium disporicum
Lineage: Bacteria; Bacillati; Bacillota; Clostridia; Eubacteriales; Clostridiaceae
Rfam family: M-box riboswitch aptamer (ykoK leader)
About the family: M-box riboswitch, also know as ykoK leader is described as a metaloregulatory RNA that sense divalent metals and function as a genetic control element of genes related to divalent metal transport in bacteria. It was first reported upstream of the B.subtilis ykoK gene and genes with related functions in other bacteria.
Source: Rfam